RNAcentral lists this long non-coding RNA (532 nucleotides) under Parus major (Great Tit). Its description in RNAcentral is "lncRNA (ENSPMJG00000014022.1)". Lineage: Eukaryota; Metazoa; Chordata; Aves; Passeriformes; Paridae. The record is from RNAcentral.
AAAACAUUCCUGUCCAACUUCCUCAAAGAGAUUCCUUCCUUGUCCCAGUGAAGCAACAGAUGGGUUUCUCAUCUCACCUUUCUGGAAUACCUGUGGUGUCACCUCUUUGUCCUGUAACAGCUUUAUGGUAAAGACUGAGUAGACCUUGGGCAUUCUGAAACCAGCGGUUUCUCUGUGCUUCGCAGUUGCUAAUUGCUUUCACCCCGCACGCGUGGCCCGAUGCACUCUCUGAGUUACUGAACCUGAGGACCUGCUACAGAUGGGAAAGCUGAGGUGCAGAGGGUUUAAGGAACUCCAUAAUGAAGGAGGUUAUCAUCCAGGAGUUAUACCCAGCUUGUUUUUAAAUCUGCAAAGGGAAGAUAGUGUGAACAAAGCAGUGAUGGCUCUCAGGUUCCUCCCCAGGCACCAGGAGAGCAGUGGGGAUGUUUUGGAUCACCUGAGCACAGGUGGUCCAAAAUUGAUCAUUAUAUAUUAUGGAAGAAUCUGGAGAUGGAGCAUGCUGGAAGAUGUUUUCUGCAUCACACAGAGUUAA